AUCAACCAUCAUCACCAUCACCAUCGUCAUCCUCAACUCCCCUAACAGCAUCUUUGAGCAUCCCCUACCGCAAUGCACUGCGCACUAUCAAGGUUACCAUAGUAAAACCCACACAUGCAGUCUGAACGCGUUUUCUGUUGAGAUGGUAUGAAGUUAUUAUUGCUCCAGUGCAGUGACGCGCGUCCCGUCGCAGCUGUCCCGGACCGGUUCUGACUCGGUUUCACUGCAGAUGUGGUCUGUGGCGUCUCAUCACACAUGGAAGACUCUCAUUUACACUACGACUGAAGAAAAGCUCUUAGGCUGAUAUACUGUGGAUUGCCUGAUGCACAGAAGAAUGUUUCAGCCUAACUUUGUUAAAUCUCGGGACUCUGUACCUCCGGUUUGAUGUUUGGCCCACAGAGGAGAUGGAAAGGAAGUAGUCCGGCUCUCGUUUGCAGCGCAGGGUGAGCAGUACAAGACCGGCCGCAUACAGCAGGUUGAGGAGGAGGACGGGCACCAGGGUCGUGACGGGAAUCCUGUACAUUUCUGCCGUGCGUGAGUGCAGCGACGCUCCAACAUGAGACCACUGGCACUGUGGUGGACAGAAGCACAAGAUGUUGUUUUUGUGGGUGAGAGUUUUGUAUAAUCAAUAAGACAAUUUUCACCUGGUAAAAGGAAAGGACUUUUGGUCACCUUGAUUUGGGCCAAAACACAAAUCAUUUCCCAUACAAUGACAUAACUUGUUGCUUAAAGGAAUAGUUCACCCCAAAAA
Cyprinus carpio carpio is the source of this 751-nucleotide long non-coding RNA. Lineage: Eukaryota; Metazoa; Chordata; Actinopteri; Cypriniformes; Cyprinidae. The record is from Ensembl.